RNAcentral lists this unclassified non-coding RNA (159 nucleotides) under Mucoromycotina sp. Its description in RNAcentral is "partial contains small subunit ribosomal RNA, internal transcribed spacer 1, and 5.8S ribosomal RNA". The stretch from base 1 to 47 matches the Rfam family "Eukaryotic small subunit ribosomal RNA", at positions 1785 to 1831 of the family's 1831-position model. Lineage: Eukaryota; Fungi; Mucoromycota. The record is from RNAcentral.
AAAGUCGUAACAAGGUUUCCGUAGGUGAACCUGCGGAAGGAUCAUUAACUAUAAUUACAUAAUCCAUGUGAACAGCCACACUUGCAGUGUGAGAAUAUAAACAUCGAGUUAUCAACAAUUAAAAAAAAAUAAUUUUUAACAAUGGAUCUCUAGGCUCUU